This 377-nucleotide ribosomal RNA is filed under the name uncultured bacterium. Its description in RNAcentral is "partial 16S ribosomal RNA". It matches the Rfam family "Bacterial small subunit ribosomal RNA", at positions 338 to 732 of the family's 1533-position model. The record is from RNAcentral.
CCUACGGGUGGCAGCAGUGGGGGAUAUUGCACAAUGGGGGAAACCCUGAUGCAGCGACGCCGCGUGUAGGAAGACGGUCCUCUGGAUUGUAAACUACUGUUCUCAGGGACGAAGACGACGUUACCUGGGGAGGACGCUCCGGCUAACUACGUGCCAGCAGCCGCGGUAAUACGUAGGGAGCGAGCGUUGUCCGGAAUUACUGGGUGUAAAGGGAGCGUAGGCGGGGAUGCAAGUUGGGUGUAAAAUCUACCGGCUCAACUGGUAGUCGCACUCAAAACUGCAGCGCUUGAGUGAAGUAGAGGCAGGCGGAAUUCCUAGUGUAGCGGUGAAAUGCGUAGAUAUUAGGAAGAACCCCGAUGGCGAAGGCAGCCUGCUGG